This 327-nucleotide ribosomal RNA is filed under the name uncultured eukaryote. RNAcentral describes it as "partial 18S ribosomal RNA". It matches the Rfam family "Eukaryotic small subunit ribosomal RNA", at positions 1470 to 1796 of the family's 1831-position model. The record is from RNAcentral.
CCCUUAGAUGUUCUGGGCCGCACACGCGCUACACUGAAGGAGGCAGCGUGUACUCCUGGAUCGAAAGAUUUGGGUAACCCGCGAAUCGCCUUCGUGCUAGGGAUUGAGGUUUGCAAUUAUCCUUCAUGAACGAGGAAUUCCCAGUAAGUGCAAGUCAUAAGCUUGCGCUGACUACGUCCCUGCCCUUUGUACACACCGCCCGUCGCUACUACCGAUUGAAUGAUUUAGUGAGGACUUCGGACUGGGACCGAUGCGGCUUUCGGGCUGCGUCGGUAUUCUGGAAAGAUGUCCAAACUGUAUCAUUUAGAGGAAGUAAAANUCGUANCA